GAUGAACGCUGGCGGCGUGCCUAAUACAUGCAAGUCGAGCGGACGGACGAGAAUCUUGUUUCUCUCAUGUUAGCGGCGGGCGGGUGAGUAACGCGUGGAUCACCUCCCUAUCAUACUGGGAUAACUUCGGGACACCGGCGCUAAUACCGGAUGAUAUUUUGAACCGCAUGGUUCGUUAGUGAAAGUCGGUCUUGCUGGCACUUAUAGCUGCAUCCGCGCUGCAUUAGCUGGUUGGUAAGGUAACGGCUUACGAAGGCGACGAUGCAUGGCCGACCGGACAGAGGGAUCGGCGACACGGGAACGGAGACACGGUCAAGACGACUGAGGGAGGCAGCAGUAGGGAAUCGGCCGCAAUGGGCGAAAGUCUGACGGAGCAACGGCGAGUGAGAGAUGAAGAUCUCCGGAGCGUAAAACUGUGUUAUGAGUGAUGAACAGACGUGUAAGGAACUGUGCAGAUCGUGACGGUACCGAGUCAGAAAGCCACGGCUAACUACGUG
This 497-nucleotide ribosomal RNA is filed under the name uncultured bacterium. Its description in RNAcentral is "partial 16S ribosomal RNA". It matches the Rfam family "Bacterial small subunit ribosomal RNA", at positions 28 to 507 of the family's 1533-position model. The record is from RNAcentral.